AAUCACCAAUCACUAAGUCUUGUCCCAGUUUCCUUGAGGUUUAAAUGGGACAUUUUUUCCACCAGAGGUUUUGACCCCCAGCAAGAAUUCUGGCAGUUUAUAGCCCCUUGGCGUGAGUGGGUCCCCCCAACCCCUUCUGUUCUGUCCCUUCUUCCCAGUCCCUCCCCUGCUUCCCUUCUCCCCUAUCCUCUGCACUAAACUGUAACGAGCAGUAGGCCUCUGAAAGCCUGGAACUGCCAUCCCCCAAUCAAAAGACAGCAGCUUUGCCCUCUCAGAGGAAGGUACCUAACCAGGCAUCAAGCAUCUCCUUGAAUUUUCCUAAUCAAAUUGUAGACAGGCAUCACCUUCCCCCUUCUCUUUCCUGCCCAGCACACACCCUCUCAGUAGCAGAGGCUUAGUCUCCACCUCCCCACUGAGCACUGUUUUUGCCUCCCUUGAAGCAGCAGCUGCUACGGAGAGAGCCCGGCCUUGCAGUCUAGACCUGGACUCCAGGCCCAGCCUUGCCACUCACAGUGGCAACUUUGUGGGUCUGUUUCCUCCCUUGCAAAAUGAUUCCAUAUAAAACAGAUUCUGGGUCUGAUCACCGUGACUGCAUGCCACUAGCCUGCCUCAUCCUCUUAUCCCUCCUCCUUUUCUAUAGCACCAGCCGGCCACGGGCCAUGGCUAUCCUUGGAACAGAGGGUCGAGGCUCCUUCUCCUGCCCUAAAACCAAGACUGAUGGGAGCCCCAAGAGCACUAGCUCUCCGGUAACCACCUACCACCUGCAGCGGGCACUGCCUGGGGGCAUCAUCCUCAUGGAACUGGCAUUCCAGGGCUGUUACUUCUGUGUCAAACAGUUUGCCCUGGAAUGUUCCCGAAUCCCAAUGGGGCAGGCUGUCAACUCACAGCUGUCCAUGCUGUUCACAGAGGAGUGUGACAAGGUGCGGGACCUGAUGCACGUGCACUCGUUCAGCUAUGACUUCCAUCUGCGCCUCGUGCAUCAGCACGUGCUAGGUGCCCACCUGGUGCUGCGGCACGGCUACCACCUCACCACCUUCCUGCGACACUUCCUGGCCCACCACCCUGACGGACCCCACUUUGGCCGCAAUCACAUUUACCAAGGGACAUUGGAGCUCCCCACACCACUCAUUGCUGCCCACCAGCUGUACAACUACGUGGCUGAUCACGCCAGCUCUUACCACAUGAAGCCAUUGCGAAUGGCCCGGCCAGGGGGCCCAGAACACAACGAGUAUGCCCUGGUGUCGGCAUGGCACAGUUCUGGCUCCUACCUGGACUCUGAGGGACUUCGCCACCAGGAUGACUUUGAUGUAUCUCUGCUUGUCUGUCACUGUGCUGCACCCUUUGAGGAGCAAGGAGAGGCUGAGCGGCACGUUCUGCGGCUACAGUUCUUCGUGGUGCUCACCAGCCAGCGAGAGCUCUUCCCCAGGCUCACUGCUGACAUGCGCCGCUUCCGGAAGCCACCCAGACUGCCCCCUGAGCCAGAGGCUCCUGGGAGUUCAGCUGGCAGCCCUGGGGAGGCCUCAGGGCUUGUUCUAGCGCCUGGACCGGCUCCUCUCUUCCCACCACUGGCUGCAGAGGUGGGCAUGGCACGAGCACGGCUGGCUCAGCUGGUGCGGCUGGCUGGAGGGCACUGCCGUCGGGACACCCUUUGGAAGCGCCUCUUCUUGCUGGAGCCACCAGGGCCUGAUCGACUGCGGCUAGGGGGGCGCCUGGCCCUGGCAGAGCUGGAGGAACUCCUAGAAGCAGUCCAUGCCAAAUCCAUUGGGGACAUCGACCCCCAGCUGGACUGCUUCCUAUCCAUGACGGUCUCCUGGUACCAGAGCCUGAUCAAAGUUCUCCUAAGCCGCUUCCCCCAGAGCUGUCGCCAUUUCCAAAGCCCAGACUUGGGAACUCAGUACCUGGUUGUGCUGAAUCAGAAGUUCACUGACUGCUUUGUGCUAGUGUUUCUGGACUCCCACUUAGGAAAGACGUCUCUGACAGUGGUUUUCCGAGAGCCCUUCCCAGUACAGCCCCAGGACAGCGAGAGCCCCCCUGCCCAACUGGUCUCCACCUACCACCACCUGGAGUCUGUCAUCAACACAGCCUGUUUCACCCUCUGGACCCGCCUCCUCUGAGGGAGUGGACUGGACCACUGAAUGUCACUGUUCCUUGAAUCAUGGGCCUACCAGAUUGCCUGCCAGAGGCAGGACUGACCAGCCCUUCUGGGCCCCAGGGCAAGCCAGACACUGAGUGACACCAAAGGCUUUGUAACUAUGUCUUGAGGGUCUGCUGCACCAGCCUGGCAGCAGGAACCGCCCUCCCCAAACACCCACAGCCACUGACCCAUCCAGGACUCCAGAGAGUCAGGUCAACCCCGAGGACCCCUUGGGCCCUUCUGGGGUACUCCUUUCGGCCCCCCUGGUAGAGUCUCGGGAGUUCACAUGGGGUGGCAAACACCCCCUAGAGCUCCUCUGCCUGAAUCCUGCCCCCUAGCCUUUGACCACUGUCAGCCACCUGUGUCCCUUGAGCCUUCGGGUCUUCACUUCCCACUUGGACAUCACUGCUGGACAUUCCCAUCGAGAUGACACCUGGGUUCCAAUCCCAGCUCUGCCUUUGAAGCACUUGUGGCCACCGUCAAGUCCCUUUGCUCUCGGACCCUGGGUUUCUCAUCCUUUAAUGAGGUGGGUUCAGAAGCUCUCCCAUCUUCACAGCAACCCUGGCACUGGCUUCUCAAUUGGAGGGAAGCAGCAGAGAAACUGAAGUGUUAGACACUAUGUGUCCCACCACCCCAUUACAGAGACAUAUGACAAUGUUCAGCAGGUCAUCUUUAAUGCAGAGGAGGAGAUGGGAUGCCACUCGCUGUCUGGAGGCACGUGGGUGGUGUGCAGGCCCUCACUGGCCAGCCUCUGGGUGGCCCCGCCUAUCCCAAUAUGAACGUAGCCAACUCAAGCCCUCUACUGUGUCUCCUGCAGGGAGAGGGAGGCCUCGGCACCUUAGCCCACAAGGAGAAAACAGCCCCUGUCCGGGUCCCUCCAGAGCUCCCUUCCCCAGGGCCACGCCUCACCUCGAGGCUGAUACUCGCAGCCCACGAAGCCUUUGUAGCCUUCAUCUUCCAGCAGUUGAAACAGAUAGGGGAAAUUCAGCUCUCCGGGGCUGCUGGGCUCCCCUCGGCCUGGGACCUGUGCCACCUGCACAUGCCCUGGGGACAGAUGUGGACAAAUGUGGGGUCCAGGCUCCUGCCAGGGCCUGAAGGACAGAUGUGGGGAUUGAAAGGGUGGGAGGGCAAAGGAAGGUCCUCUCACCAACAAUGGGCAGGAACUCCCGGAUGUUUCCUGUCAGGUUCCCAUCCAUGAUCUGCCAGUGGAAUAUGUCCUAGGGAAGAGGAUACUACAUUCCGAGACCCCGCAGGCCCCGCCCUCCUUCCGAUCUGCGAAGUACCCCCUUCCACUUACCAUUUGUAAUUGGAGGUUGGGUCUUCCUACCUUCUGUAAGAUGGCUGCCGCUGUAAGAGAAGCCAGGGAGGGGACCGUGAGCCUCAAGAGCACAGGAAUCAAAAGGGACAGAAGGAGAGACAGGGCUGGGGUCGUACCCUGCUGGGGCGUGUCCAGGAAGUACUGGGGGUCAGUGAUGCGGGUGUUGAUGGGCUCCAGCAGUCCCACGAGGUCCUCCUAGCAGCAUGUCGGGUGCUGUGAAUAGAGCUCCUUCCCAAGUUUGUCCCCCAUCAGUCAGUCACUGGUCAAGGCCCUCACCUGUUCCUCUGACCUAGGCUGGCAGCCUCACGUGCUGUCCCCACUGUGCACCCCCUUCUCCGCACACCCACAGAGACAUGUAAGUACGUGUGUGUUUCCACCUUUCUCACCUGAGCCAAAACCCCAGCUGCAUGCCUCAGGUUCUCCAGAAAAACGGCCUCCAUCUCAGCCUUGACUGCUAUUCGAUCAGCCCCCUGGGGUACUCGGCCAGCCAUCAGGUGGAUCCUGUGGGGAAGAUGGACUGGAGGCCUUGCCUCCCUUGGCUCUCUCUGCACCUCUUCCAGGAUUCCCUGACUGUGCCAGCCCUCGUCCGUCUCCCCAGGUCUCCAGUCCAUGGCACCUGGGUCACGAUGCCCAGGUAUCCCAGCACUUUCAGAGACACUUCAGUGAUGGCCGAGGGGCAAGCCCUUUCCCAGACAUCUCAGUGUCCACCCACCGCCUCCUGCCUCCAGUACUUUCCAAAACCUUUCCUUCCCUCAGUCCUUCUCCUCAACCUGUAACCUGCUAAAUUCUCACCUUUAAAAAUUGUCCUGACCUUUGCUUGCCCUUCUCAGGU
This 4284-nucleotide small RNA is filed under the name Pan troglodytes (chimpanzee). RNAcentral's name for it is "retained intron". The record is from RNAcentral. Lineage: Eukaryota; Metazoa; Chordata; Mammalia; Primates; Hominidae.